AUUGAACGCUGGCGGCAGGCCUAACACAUGCAAGUCGAAUGGUAACAGGAAACAGCUUGCUGUUUCGCUGACGAGUGGCGGACGGGUGAGUAAUGUCUGGGAAACUGCCUGAUGGAGGGGGAUAACUACUGGAAACGGUAGCUAAUACCGCAUAACGUCGCAAGACCAAAGAGGGGGACCUUCGGGCCUCUUGCCAUCAGAUGUGCCCAGAUGGGAUUAGCUAGUAGGUGGGGUAACGGCUCACCUAGGCGACGAUCCCUAGCUGGUCUGAGAGGAUGACCAGCCACACUGGAACUGAGACACGGUCCAGACUCCUACGGGAGGCAGCAGUGGGGAAUAUUGCACAAUGGGCGCAAGCCUGAUGCAGCCAUGCCGCGUGUAUGAAGAAGGCCUUCGGGUUGUAAAGUACUUUCAGCGGGGAGGAAGGGAGUAAAGUUAAUACCUUUGCUCAUUGACGUUACCCGCAGAAGAAGCACCGGCUAACUCCGUGCCAGCAGCCGCGGUAAUACGGAGGGUGCAAGCGUUAAUCGGAAUUACUGGGCGUAAAGCGCACGCAGGCGGUUUGUUAAGUCAGAUGUGAAAUCCCCGGGCUCAACCUGGGAACUGCAUCUGAUACUGGCAAGCUUGAGUCUCGUAGAGGGGGGUAGAAUUCCAGGUGUAGCGGUGAAAUGCGUAGAGAUCUGGAGGAAUACCGGUGGCGAAGGCGGCCCCCUGGACGAAGACUGACGC
Molecule: ribosomal RNA, 729 nt
Filed under: uncultured Escherichia sp.
Lineage: Bacteria; Pseudomonadati; Pseudomonadota; Gammaproteobacteria; Enterobacterales; Enterobacteriaceae
Description: bacterial SSU rRNA
Rfam family: Bacterial small subunit ribosomal RNA
Source: RNAcentral